This 1550-nucleotide ribosomal RNA is filed under the name Salmonella enterica subsp. enterica serovar Enteritidis. RNAcentral's name for it is "bacterial SSU rRNA". It matches the Rfam family "Bacterial small subunit ribosomal RNA". The record is from RNAcentral. Lineage: Bacteria; Pseudomonadati; Pseudomonadota; Gammaproteobacteria; Enterobacterales; Enterobacteriaceae.
AAAUUGAAGAGUUUGAUCAUGGCUCAGAUUGAACGCUGGCGGCAGGCCUAACACAUGCAAGUCGAACGGUAACAGGAAGCAGCUUGCUGCUUCGCUGACGAGUGGCGGACGGGUGAGUAAUGUCUGGGAAACUGCCUGAUGGAGGGGGAUAACUACUGGAAACGGUGGCUAAUACCGCAUAACGUCGCAAGACCAAAGAGGGGGACCUUCGGGCCUCUUGCCAUCAGAUGUGCCCAGAUGGGAUUAGCUUGUUGGUGAGGUAACGGCUCACCAAGGCGACGAUCCCUAGCUGGUCUGAGAGGAUGACCAGCCACACUGGAACUGAGACACGGUCCAGACUCCUACGGGAGGCAGCAGUGGGGAAUAUUGCACAAUGGGCGCAAGCCUGAUGCAGCCAUGCCGCGUGUAUGAAGAAGGCCUUCGGGUUGUAAAGUACUUUCAGCGGGGAGGAAGGUGUUGUGGUUAAUAACCGCAGCAAUUGACGUUACCCGCAGAAGAAGCACCGGCUAACUCCGUGCCAGCAGCCGCGGUAAUACGGAGGGUGCAAGCGUUAAUCGGAAUUACUGGGCGUAAAGCGCACGCAGGCGGUCUGUCAAGUCGGAUGUGAAAUCCCCGGGCUCAACCUGGGAACUGCAUUCGAAACUGGCAGGCUUGAGUCUUGUAGAGGGGGGUAGAAUUCCAGGUGUAGCGGUGAAAUGCGUAGAGAUCUGGAGGAAUACCGGUGGCGAAGGCGGCCCCCUGGACAAAGACUGACGCUCAGGUGCGAAAGCGUGGGGAGCAAACAGGAUUAGAUACCCUGGUAGUCCACGCCGUAAACGAUGUCUACUUGGAGGUUGUGCCCUUGAGGCGUGGCUUCCGGAGCUAACGCGUUAAGUAGACCGCCUGGGGAGUACGGCCGCAAGGUUAAAACUCAAAUGAAUUGACGGGGGCCCGCACAAGCGGUGGAGCAUGUGGUUUAAUUCGAUGCAACGCGAAGAACCUUACCUGGUCUUGACAUCCACAGAAGAAUCCAGAGAUGGAUUUGUGCCUUCGGGAACUGUGAGACAGGUGCUGCAUGGCUGUCGUCAGCUCGUGUUGUGAAAUGUUGGGUUAAGUCCCGCAACGAGCGCAACCCUUAUCCUUUGUUGCCAGCGGUUAGGCCGGGAACUCAAAGGAGACUGCCAGUGAUAAACUGGAGGAAGGUGGGGAUGACGUCAAGUCAUCAUGGCCCUUACGACCAGGGCUACACACGUGCUACAAUGGCGCAUACAAAGAGAAGCGACCUCGCGAGAGCAAGCGGACCUCAUAAAGUGCGUCGUAGUCCGGAUUGGAGUCUGCAACUCGACUCCAUGAAGUCGGAAUCGCUAGUAAUCGUGGAUCAGAAUGCCACGGUGAAUACGUUCCCGGGCCUUGUACACACCGCCCGUCACACCAUGGGAGUGGGUUGCAAAAGAAGUAGGUAGCUUAACCUUCGGGAGGGCGCUUACCACUUUGUGAUUCAUGACUGGGGUGAAGUCGUAACAAGGUAACCGUAGGGGAACCUGCGGUUGGAUCACCUCCUUACCUUAAAG